AGGGAAUCUUCGGCAAUGGACGGAAGUCUGACCGAGCAACGCCGCGUGAGUGAAGAAGGUUUUCGGAUCGUAAAGCUCUGUUGUAAGAGAAGAACGAGUGUGAGAGUGGAAAGUUCACACUGUGACGGUAUCUUACCAGAAAGGGACGGCUAACUACGUGCCAGCAGCCGCGGUAAUACGUAGGUCCCGAGCGUUGUCCGGAUUUAUUGGGCGUAAAGCGAGCGCAGGCGGUUAGAUAAGUCUGAAGUUAAAGGCUGUGGCUUAACCAUAGUACGCUUUGGAAACUGUUUAACUUGAGUGCAAGAGGGGAGAGUGGAAUUCCAUGUGUAGCGGUGAAAUGCGUAGAUAUAUGGAGGAACACCGGUGGCGAAAGCGGCUCUCUGGCUUGUAACUGACGCUGAGGCUCGAAAGCGUGGGGAGCAAACAGGAUUAGAUACCCUGGUAGUCCACGCCGCAAACGAUGAGUGCUAGGUGUUAGACCCUUUCCGGGGUUUAGUGCCGCAGCUAACGCAUUAAGCACUCCGCCUGGGGAGUACGACCGCAAGGUUG
Molecule: ribosomal RNA, 549 nt
Filed under: uncultured bacterium
Lineage: Bacteria
Description: bacterial SSU rRNA
Rfam family: Bacterial small subunit ribosomal RNA
Source: RNAcentral